AGUGAACGCUGGCGGUAGGCCUAACACAUGCAAGUCGAACGGCAGCACAGAGGAGCUUGCUCCUUGGGUGGCGAGUGGCGGACGGGUGAGGAAUACAUCGGAAUCUACUCUGUCGUGGGGGAUAACGUAGGGAAACUUACGCUAAUACCGCAUACGACCUACGGGUGAAAGCAGGGGACCUUCUGGCCUUGCGCGAUUGAAUGAGCCGAUGUCGGAUUAGCUAGUUGGCGGGGUAAAGGCCCACCAAGGCGACGAUCCGUAGCUGGUCUGAGAGGAUGAUCAGCCACACCGGAACUGAGACACGGUCCAGACUCCUACGGGAGGCAGCAGUGGGGAAUAUUGGACAAUGGGCGCAAGCCUGAUCCAGCCAUACCGCGUGGGUGAAGAAGGCCUUCGGGUUGUAAAGCCCUUUUGUUGGGAAAGAAAUCCAGCUGGCUAAUACCCGGUUGGGAUGACGGUACCCAAAGAAUAAGCACCGGCUAACUUCGUGCCAGCCGCCGCGGUAA
This 506-nucleotide ribosomal RNA is filed under the name uncultured bacterium. Its description in RNAcentral is "partial 16S ribosomal RNA". It matches the Rfam family "Bacterial small subunit ribosomal RNA", at positions 29 to 523 of the family's 1533-position model. The record is from RNAcentral.